UACGUAGGGUGCGAGCGUUUAAUCGGAAUUACUGGGCGUAAAGCGUGCGCAGGCGGUUUUGUAAGUCAGAUGUGAAAGCCCCGGGCUUAACCCGGGAAUGGCAGUGGAAACUGGCGGGCUUGAGUGUGGCAGAGGGGGGUGGAAUUCCGCGUGUAGCAGUGAAAUGCGUAGAUAUGCGGAGGAACACCGAUGGCGAAGGCAAUCCCCCUGGACCUGUACUGACGCUCAUGCACGAAAGCGUGGGGAGCAAACAGG
This 255-nucleotide ribosomal RNA is filed under the name uncultured bacterium. RNAcentral's name for it is "partial 16S ribosomal RNA". It matches the Rfam family "Bacterial small subunit ribosomal RNA", at positions 524 to 776 of the family's 1533-position model. The record is from RNAcentral.